GACGAACGCUGGCGGCGUGCUUAACACAUGCAAGUCGAACGGAAAGGCCCUGCUUUUGUGGGGUGCUCGAGUGGCGAACGGGUGAGUAACACGUGAGUAACCUGCCCUUGACUUUGGGAUAACGUCAGGAAACUGGGGCUAAUACCGGAUAGGAGCUCCUGCUGCAUGGUGGGGGUUGGAAAGUUUCGGCGGUUGGGGAUGGACUCGCGGCUUAUCAGCUUGUUGGUGGGGUAGUGGCUUACCAAGGCUUUGACGGGUAGGCGGCCUGAGAGGGUGACCGGCCACAUUGGGACUGAGGUACGGCGCAGACUGCUACGGGAGGCAGCAGUGGGGAAUAUGGCACAAUGGGCGGAAGCCUGAUGAAGAAACGCCGCGGGCGGGAUGACGGCCUUCGGGUUGUGAACCGCUUUCGCCUGUGACGAAGCGUGAGUGACGGUAAUGGAUAAAGAAGCACCGGCUAACUACGUG
RNAcentral lists this ribosomal RNA (468 nucleotides) under uncultured bacterium. Its description in RNAcentral is "partial 16S ribosomal RNA". It matches the Rfam family "Bacterial small subunit ribosomal RNA", at positions 28 to 507 of the family's 1533-position model. The record is from RNAcentral.